This 520-nucleotide ribosomal RNA is filed under the name uncultured bacterium. RNAcentral's name for it is "bacterial SSU rRNA". It matches the Rfam family "Archaeal small subunit ribosomal RNA", at positions 345 to 866 of the family's 1478-position model. The record is from RNAcentral.
AACCUCCGCAAUGUGAGAAAUCGCGACGGGGGGAUCCCGAGUGCCAUUCUUAACGGGAUGGCUUUUCAUUAGUGUAAAGAGCUUUUGGAAUAAGAGCUGGGCAAGACCGGUGCCAGCCGCCGCGGUAACACCGGCAGCUCUAGUGGUAACAAUUUUUAUUGGGCCUAAAGCGUCCGUAGCCGGUUUAAUAAGUCUCUGGUGAAAUCCUGCAGCUUAACUGUGGGAAUUGCUGGAGAUACUAUUAGACUUGAGACCGGGAGAGGUUAGAGGUACUCCCAGGGUAGAGGUGAAAUUCUGUAAUCCUGGGAGGACCGCCUGUUGCGAAGGCGUCUAACUGGAACGGUUCUGACGGUGAGGGACGAAAGUUAGGGGCGCGAACCGGAUUAGAUACCCGGGUAGUCCUAACUGUAAACGAUGCGGACUUGGUGUUGGGGUGGCUUUGAGCUGCUUCAGUGCCGAAGGGAAGCUGUUAAGUCCGCCGCCUGGGAAGUACGGUCGCAAGACUGAAACUAAAGGAAUU